RNAcentral lists this ribosomal RNA (393 nucleotides) under uncultured Pseudomonas sp. RNAcentral describes it as "bacterial SSU rRNA". It matches the Rfam family "Bacterial small subunit ribosomal RNA", at positions 989 to 1382 of the family's 1533-position model. The record is from RNAcentral. Lineage: Bacteria; Pseudomonadati; Pseudomonadota; Gammaproteobacteria; Pseudomonadales; Pseudomonadaceae.
ACCGGAGACGUGAGAGAUCACGUUGUCCCUUGUGGACUGGUAUACAGGUGGCUGCAUGGCUGUCGUCAGCUCGUGCUGUGAAGUGUUGGGUUAAGUCCCGCAACGAGCGCAACCCUUGUCCUUAGUUACCAGCACGUUAUGGUGGGCACUCUAAGGAGACUGCCGGUGACAAACCGGAGGAAGGUGGGGAUGACGUCAAGUCAUCAUGGCCCUUACGGCCUGGGCUACACACGUGCUACAAUGGUCGGUACAAAGGGUUGCCAAGCCGCGAGGUGGAGCUAAUCCCAUAAAACCGAUCGUAGUCCGGAUCGCAGUCUGCAACUCGACUGCGUGAAGUCGGAAUCGCUAGUAAUCGUGAAUCAGAAUGUCACGGUGAAUACGUUCCCGGGCCUU